UUGGGCUACCACUUAAAACCAAUUGGCAAUUAGUGGUGUGAUCCAAGUCCCUUAUAUAUUACUUAUGUCCCCAUCAUAUAUCCGAUGUGGGAUAUUCUCUCCAAUACCCUCCCUCGAGAUAAUGGUGCGUAUAACCAUUAAUCUCGCAGAAUCCAUCAUACCCUUCCGAGAUAAUGCUCUUUUUUAGCUAUUUCGGAGAACUGAGCCUUCUUUGGGUCAUCAGCUAAUGGGUUGAUCGGGCCACUGUCCGGGCCGGAUUAAAGGGUCAGAGUAUUGGGCCGGCUCUGAUACCAUGAUAAGUUUAUUGGGCUACCACUUAAAACCAAUUGGCAAUUAGUGGUGUGAUCCAAGUCCCUUAUAUAUUACUUAUGUCCCCAUCAUAUAUCCGAUGUGGGAUAUUCUCUCCAAUACAAACUCGACGUUUUACAGUAAACGCAACCCAUUGCCACUUCCGGCGAACACCUCACUCGACGUCACCACUUUCAUCUCCUCUCAAGCUCACCGAGGUACAACAGCCUUCAUAGACGCCUCCACGAGCCACCGCCUAAGCUUCUCCGGCCUCUGGAGAGCCGUGAACCGUGUUGCGGACUGUCUCCACAGCGACUUUGCGAUAAGAAGAGGCGACGUAGUACUCGUCCUAUCUCCCAACUCCAUCUCCGUCCCCAUCGUCUGCCUCUCCGUCAUGUCUCUCGGCGCCGUCGUCACCACGGCGAAUCCUCUCAACACCGCUGGUGAGAUCUCCGGGCAGAUGGCAGAUAGCAACCCUAAGCUCGCCUUCACAACGCCUGAGCUGGCUAAAAAACUCGCCGGUUCGGGUGUCUCCAUUUUCCUCGAGAGAAAGGGACCCACUCGCGGAGUCAGAGUCGCUGGUUAUCUGACUGAGAUGGUGAACAAGGAGACGAGUGGAGACCGUGCCAGAGACCGAGUCGACAAGGACGACACGGCGAUGCUUCUAUACUCGUCGGGAACCACGGGGCGAAGCAAAGGGGUGAUAAUUUCUCACGGGAACUUAAUAGCACACGUGGCGAGAUACAUUGCUGAGCCAUGGGAGACAAACGAGACUUUCCUCUGCACCGUUCCGUUGUUCCACACCUUCGGGUUACUAAACUACGUCAUGGCCACCGUAGCUUUGGGUUCAACGGUGGUGAUUCUCCGGAAGUUUGAUCUCCACGAGAUGGUGGCGGCAGCAGAGAAGUACAGAGCGACGACUCUGGCUCUGGUCCCGCCGAUCGUGGUAGUUAUGAUCAACGGCUCAGAUGUGAUCAAGGCCAAGUACGAUCUGAGUUCUGUCCGAAGGGUUAGGUGUGGUGGUGCCCCCUUGAGCAAGGAAGUUACUGAAGGGUUUUUAAAGGCAUAUCCAACGGUCGAUAUUUUUCAAGGGUACGCUUUGACUGAAUCGAACGGCGCAGGAGCUUCUAUUGAUACGGUGGAGGAGAGUCGGAGAUCCGGUGCGGUAGGGUUGUUGUCGUCCGGGGUGGAAGCGAGGAUUAUGGAUCUGGAUACGGGUCGGAUUAUGGGUGUUGACCAAACGGGCGAGCUUUGGCUCAAAGGGCCUUCUAUUGCUAGAGGUUAUUUUAGGAACAAAGAAGCUGCAAAAGAAACUAUCAAUUCAGAGGGAUGGCUUAAAACCGGAGAUCUUUGCUAUAUCGACGAUGAUGGGUUUGUUUUUAUCGUUGAUCGACUUAAAGAGCUAAUCAAAUACAAAGGUUAUCAGGUGCCUCCAGCUGAACUAGAGGCUCUCCUAUUAAGCCACCCGGAUAUUCUUGAUGCAGCAGUUAUUCCGAUUCCUGACAAGGAAGCAGGCCAAUGUCCAAUGGCUUUCGUGCAACGCAAGCCUGAGCGCGAUCUUUCUAAGAAACAAGUUAUUGACUUCAUCUCUAAACAGGUGGCCCCAUAUAAAAGAAUAAGGAAGGUCGCAUUUAUAGACUCCGUACCAAAGACUGCAUCCGGCAAAACACUUCGCAAGGUGCCUUCAGACUCCAGCUGAUCUAGAAGCUCUCGUAAUCAUUCAUACGACGAUCUCGAUGCCGCCGCUAUUCCGUUUUAUGAUAAAGAGGCAAGACAAUAUCCAAUGGCUCACGUGACACGAGUUCUUAUUAGAGCAACC
This is an RNA transcript of Raphanus sativus (radish), 2107 nucleotides long. It is a transcript of the gene named 4-coumarate--CoA ligase-like 8, with no coding region annotated. The transcript has 7 exons. The record is from RefSeq and is a predicted model, not a curated record. Lineage: Eukaryota; Viridiplantae; Streptophyta; Magnoliopsida; Brassicales; Brassicaceae.